AGGACGAACGCUGGCGGCGUGCUUAACACAUGCAAGUCGAGCGAGGCUCCUCCUUCGGGAGGAUGCCCUAGCGGCGAACGGGUGAGUAACACGUGGGCAACCUGCCCCUAGCACUGGGAUAACCCCGGGAAACCGGGGCUAAUACCGGAUACGACUUAGGAAGGCAUCUUCUGAAGUGGAAAAGGUUACUGGCUAGGGAUGGGCCCGCGGCCUAUCAGCUUGUUGGUGGGGUAAUGGCCCACCAAGGCGACGACGGGUAGCCGGCCUGAGAGGGCGACCGGCCACACUGGGACUGAGACACGGCCCAGACUCCUACGGGAGGCAGCAGUGGGGAAUAUUGCACAAUGGGCGAAAGCCUGAUGCAGCGACGCCGCGUGAGGGAUGACGGCCUUCGGGUUGUAAACCUCUUUCAGCAGGGACGAAGCGAAAGUGACGGUACCUGCAGAAGAAGCACCGGCCAACUACGCGCCAGCAGCCGC
Molecule: ribosomal RNA, 479 nt
Filed under: uncultured bacterium
Lineage: Bacteria
Description: SSU rRNA
Rfam family: Bacterial small subunit ribosomal RNA
Source: RNAcentral